AACGUAGGGGGCCAGCGUUGCUCGGAAUUACUGGGCGUAAAGGGUCCGUAGGCGGUGUGGCAAGUCGGUAGUGAAAUCUCUAGGCUUAACCUAGAGGCUGCUGCCGAAACUGCCGUGCUAGAGUGUGAGAGAGGCGAGUGGAAUUACGGGUGUAGCGGUGAAAUGCGUAGAUAUCCGUAGGAACAUCCGAGGCGAAAGCGGCUCGCUGGAUCACAACUGACGCUGAGGGACGAAAGCUAGGGGAGCAAACAGG
This 253-nucleotide ribosomal RNA is filed under the name uncultured bacterium. RNAcentral's name for it is "partial 16S ribosomal RNA". It matches the Rfam family "Bacterial small subunit ribosomal RNA", at positions 524 to 776 of the family's 1533-position model. The record is from RNAcentral.